AACCUGGUUGAUCCUGCCAGUAGUCAUAUGCUUGUCUCAAAGACUAAGCCAUGCAUGUCUAAGUAUAAACGCUUCUAUACUGUGAAACUGCGAAUGGCUCAUUAAAUCAGUUAUAGUUUAUUUGAUGGUUUCUUACUACUUGGAUAACCGUGGUAAUUCUAGAGCUAAUACAUGCACAAAGUCCCGACUCUUCGGAAGGGAUGUAUUUAUUAGAUCCAAAACCAAUGCGAGUCUCUCGGGGCUCGGUUCCUUGGUGAUUCAUGAUAACUGCUCGAACCGUAUGGCCCUUGCGCCGACGGUGCUUCAUUCAAAUUUCUGCCCUAUCAACUUUCGAUGGUACGGUAGUGGCCUACCAUGGUUGCAACGGGUGACGGAGAAUUAGGGUUCGAUUCCGGAGAGGGAGCCUGAGAAACGGCUACCACAUCCAAGGAAGGCAGCAGGCGCGCAAAUUACCCAAUCCCGACUCGGGGAGGUAGUGACAAUAAAUAACAAUGCCGGGCUAUUGUAGUCUGGCAAUUGGAAUGAGUACAAUCUAAAUCCCUUAACGAGGAACAAUUGGAGGGCAAGUCUGGUGCCAGCAGCCGCGGUAAUUCCAGCUCCAAUAGCGUAUAUUAAAGUUGUUGCAGUUAAAAAGCUCGUAGUUGGAUUUCGGGGUGGCCUGCCUGGUCCACCGCAAGGUGAGUACUGGUCAGCCGCCCUUCCUCUCGAAAGCCCCGACUGCUCUUUACUGCAGUGGUCGGGUAGUUCGGGACGUUUACUUUGAAAAAAUUAGAGUGUUCAAGGCAGGCUAUCGCCUGAAUACAUUAGCAUGGAAUAAUGGAAGAGGACCUCGGUCCUAUUUUGUUGGUUUCUACGGCCGAAGUAAUGAUUAAGAGGGACAGUUGGGGGGCAUUCGUAUUUAAUUGUCAGAGGUGAAAUUCUUGGAUUUAUGAAAGACGAACUAGUGCGAAAGCAUUUGCCAAAGGAUGUUUUUCAUUAAUCAAGAACGAAA
Molecule: ribosomal RNA, 991 nt
Filed under: Halichondria panicea
Lineage: Eukaryota; Metazoa; Porifera; Demospongiae; Suberitida; Halichondriidae
Description: SSU rRNA
Rfam family: Eukaryotic small subunit ribosomal RNA
Source: RNAcentral